UAUGGCCAAAUGUUUUGUUUAUUACAGACAGUAAGAGGAAAUUAACAUAACUCAGAUUCAUGCACUUUUAUUUGAUCAUUAAAUUGAUCAAAAGUGAGAGUAAAACAUUUAUAAUGUUUCAAAAGAUUUCUAUUUCAAAUAAAAGCUGUUCUUUUGAACUUUCUAUUCAUCUCUGAAUCCUGAAAAAUAAAAUGCAUCAGUUUCCUCAAAAAUAUUGAGCAGCACAACUGUGUUCAACAUUGAUAAUAAUCAGAAAUGUUUCUUGAGCAGCAGAUCAGCAUAUUAUUAUGAUUUCUGAAGAUCAUGUGACACUGAAGACUGGAGUAAUGAUGCUGAAAAUACAGCUGCGCAUCACAGAAAUAAAUUACACUUUAACAGAUACUCACAUAGAAAACAGCUGUUUUACAUCACAAUAAUAUUUCAUCCAUUUUUACUGUAUUUUGAUCAAAUAAGUGCAGCCUUGAUGAGCAGAAGAGACUUCUUUCAAAAAAAAAAAAAAAAAAAACUCUUACUAACCCCAACAUUUUCGAUGGCUAUGUACAGUUUGGAUUUAUUCCUUGGUUUUAUUAAUGUUUAAUUCUGUUAAAAAUAAAACAGCUGUGGCACAGAAAACCUGGGAAUAUCAGGCAUUUCAGUUUGAAAAAUGAUGGCAAUAUUUAGUAAGACUUUUUCUAUUAUUACUUGUAUGUAAAAACUGAAAGAGCCAGAAGAGGCUCUUGUGGAUUUGCGUGUUUGAAUUACAAAGCAAGAAAGUGGGAGAGAGCUGACGAAGGCAAGGGAAUGGUUCUGUCCAUCUGUGAAGCGCUCGUUUGACGACAGACUGUGAGUUUGUCCCGCUCCUGAGACAGAUGGUUGCUGGGGGACUCUGAUAACAGGACAGCAGGUCAACGCCGAGGCUGCGCUCCAACUCAACAUGUGUGUUUAUCUGUCAUGUCCAAAUGUCAUAUUCAAGUGCUGGAGGUUUAUUAGCCACAGAAUCUGGUGCGAAUCAUCGGCGUCAUCAGGAAAAUAUGAGCAGCAUCACGCUGACAAAUCUGCUGCUUUAUUCCCGCUUGUGAAAGUGCUUCUGAACAACUGAACAUCACUGGAAAGACUUCUCUGCUGCAUUCAGAGUCCUUAUUCAUCUGUUAAUAUUACUGCUGUUCAUACUCAUGUGUGAUCUCUGAUGGAUGUAGUGUUUCAGAUCCAGCGUUCACUAAUGGAGUGGAAGAAAAGCUUGAGCUCUGAAACAUGAAAAACAGACUCAGAAAUAAACAAGUGAUUCUCGGUGAAUCUUCUGAACGAUUCAGAUCAUGUCCAGAAAUAUGACCCUUCACCUAGUGAUAAUUAAAGCUUGUCGGUGGCCGCAGGAAGUGAUGCGAUGUCAUUCCCUGAUGUCAUCCGUCUCCCUGGCAACAAUGACAACUGCCAAUGUGACCCAUCAUGAGCGAGAAGAUGAAGAUGAGGGUGAGUUAAGUCAAAAAAGCCAGAUCACUACAGUAAAGGACACCUGCAGUUAUUGGCUAAAACAGCGUCUCCUCGUUAAUUUCUUUCCAUUAAAAACAUAGGUCUACACAUACAAACACUGCAGUUUCCAGCUGAAAUCAACACUAGUGGCAGAUUAUUGAUCAAUAAAGCCUUAUUUUCUUGUGGUUUAGUGCACAAUACAAUGUUAUGAGUGCAAAACACUUCUGUCAUAGUAAAUUAAUACAUUUUGAUAUUUGCAUCACAUAAGCAGCUCCACAUGU
Cyprinus carpio carpio is the source of this 1727-nucleotide long non-coding RNA. The record is from Ensembl. Lineage: Eukaryota; Metazoa; Chordata; Actinopteri; Cypriniformes; Cyprinidae.